UGGGUUGUAGCUCAGUGAUAGAGCGCUUGCCUUGCAUGCAUGAGGCUCUGGGUUUGAUCCUCAGUACCACAU
RNAcentral lists this transfer RNA (72 nucleotides) under Ictidomys tridecemlineatus (thirteen-lined ground squirrel). RNAcentral's name for it is "Spermophilus tridecemlineatus (thirteen-lined ground squirrel) tRNA". It matches the Rfam family "tRNA". Rfam says of the family: Transfer RNA (tRNA) molecules are approximately 80 nucleotides in length. Their secondary structure includes four short double-helical elements and three loops (D, anti-codon, and T loops). Lineage: Eukaryota; Metazoa; Chordata; Mammalia; Rodentia; Sciuridae. The record is from Rfam by way of RNAcentral.